Molecule: long non-coding RNA, 6359 nt
Filed under: Medicago truncatula (barrel medic)
Lineage: Eukaryota; Viridiplantae; Streptophyta; Magnoliopsida; Fabales; Fabaceae
Description: long non-coding RNA (MTRU_LNC005134)
Source: RNAcentral
UGACAAAGCUUUGGAGAAGGAAAGAGCAUAUACAAGCAGAGAAGUCAGGACAUACUUAAGAAGGAUCAAAAAACCACCAAAAGAAAGAAAUCAACUCUUCCACCCAAACAAUCUAUUUCUAAUACGGGUAUGAACCGGAUCCCAAAGCAACAAUCGCCGAGGAUCACCACCAAUAGGAAGGCCUAGAUACAAAAAAAGACACCUUGCUCGCCGUACAAGUGGUUGUUGUUGCUAUUGAUAGCUAACGAAAUUUUCGACAUUUUGGUACCAGUUUCAUGAGUUUUGGUUCAGUAUUAAGUUCUGGAGGCAACUUUGAAGUAUGGGGUCUGAUGCAGAUUUUUGAAGUAUGAAUAGGCGAGGAGAUGCAGAAGAGAAAUAUUAAGUGGAGUUCGCAUAAGCCGAACUUAUCAUCAUACUCAAAUUUAGAGGUGAUUUCUUGUUAGUUUAGCACUUCAGCAUGGGUGUGUUUGUGUGAGUUUUGUGAGAAAACUACGAAGUAUGCAUUAUACAUGAUAAAAUUAGCUUCCCCUUUGUAAUGUAAUGUGUUAACCAUGUUUAAAAUUAAUGAUUUCUAAUGCCUUGAUAUUGAAAUAAGCUGUUUGGGAUAAUUAUUUGCGAAAAAGUGAUUCCGAAUGCUGAAAAUGUGAUUUUUGCAGGUAGGUAAUAAAUUACCUACUGAUGGUAAUCAAUUACCAGAAGCUUCUGGUGCCCAAAAAUCACUUCUGACCUUGGUAAUAGGUUACCCAAUGAUAGUGAUUUAUACCAACCUUACAUUUAGCAUAAAUCACUUUAUGAAACACUAGUUUUGCUUUUAAAGAUUUUAAAUUUCAUUCCACGGAUCAUUUCAACAUUUUAUGGAUCUUUUAAGAGUGAAUCAAGAUUUAACACAUGAUUAAUACGAUAUAUUAAAAGAGUGUUCUCAUGAAGAAUCAUUAGUAACGCGGGUAGAUUCUAACAUUAAGGAAAUGGGGGACUUAGUAUGAGACUUGAUUUAAAUAAUCGAAUUUAGUACAACCAAGAUAUUAGAACAUAUUAGAUAUAUGCUACAAAAUUUAUAUCCAGAUACUUAUAUAUACAUGUCGACAAGUUGUGGCUCAGGUAAGCACCAGACUAUGUUAGGAUAGGUCAACCCAUCAGGGAACCUUCAUGAUGACUCGUACAUAUAUAUAUAUAUAUAUAUAGACACACACACAUACAGAUAAUGUAAUAAUAAAUAUUUCGUGUCCCUCAGCAGGUUCUGAUGGAUGGGUUUAUCAUAGAUGGUAAACCACACGUAGUCAGAGGAAUUCCGGUGAUUAGCCUCAGAUAGGAGUUUUCAUCGGAUAGCAGUGGGAUGGUGACCGACGUUACUCCACUCAGGAUCCAUUCAGUAAAAUCAAUCCAGAUAAAAAUUGUUUGUUCAACACUUAGCUUAUAACAUUAAUAUGAAAACAGAAUACAAAUAUGUUUAUGCAUCAGAGCAGACUUAUGAUAGAGCACCGUAACAAUCCUAGUUUUUCCUUGAUCGUUCAGUUAUGUAGAACAGAACUGUAUAAACCCAAACAGGUUGAGCUUAGUCAGAUGGCAAUCAUAGGUUUUCCCCGAGAUUGCCUACAACCUAGGAUAGGUGGAACUCACUGAGACAUCAUGCCUCAUCCCAAUCCUUUCAUUUUAUUUUACAGAUUAUCAGGUUGCUCGUAUCAAGAGGAGGCAGAUAUGCAGGUGAAUGGAUUAUCGUCAAUAACUCGUUUCGUACCAAUUCUAGAUAUUUUAUGUAUUCGAAUACUUAUUAGAUAUAUGUAUUUGGCAGUUGAUAUUUUAUCAGAUGUAUAAACUUGUAAGGUAUAUAGUCAUUGAAAAGAAAUUAUGCUGUAAUUUUAAUGUAUCCAGUAUUAAGUUUAACACACAUGCUAAAUAUUUUAGAUAAAUUUAGUAUGGAUGUUACAUUUGGUAUCAGAGUCUGGUUGAUUCAGAUCGUGUCCUGGAUCAUUAGAAAUCAACGAAUGUAGUGGGACCAUUGGGUUCCAGAUAUUUAUUAUAAAUGUCAUAUCUAGUUGAGCCUGAUAAACUCAAUCUAGUUUAUGGCAGUUAGAAUAGUUGUUUGAGAGCUGAAAAGGACCUAGGAGGAAUGAAGCGUAUGAAGAAGGAUCAGGGUGUCAGAACCAAGACGAAUUUUGGUGAAGGAGUACACAACGCCAAAUGGUGGCGGGUAAUCUGUGGAGUUGAAUACGAAGAUUAUUUCGGAACACAGAGAGAAUGUUAAGAUUAAGAAGGAGUACCCUAACAUUGUUGGACAUGUGGGAAAACUGUACUUCACUUAUGGAAAAGUAAGAGACUCAUAAAUCUUUAAGGAUUGAUUUUAAAGCUUUAACGGAAGCCGUAGUUGAGAAGCAGGAAUAAGGUGGAGAGUAAAGCUACAAUCCUAUGCGCAGAUUCAAGAUUGCAUAAUAGAAAGAGAAACUUGGAAUGAGGAAGUCACCAUAUGAUUGAGGGAAUAUAUAAGCUCUCAAUGAAGGUAGAUUAUGUAAGGAACUAAGGACUCGAACGCUCGAAACAGACAAGAUUUUGAUGUCUGGGCGAUUAAGUAAAUUAGCUGAGAAAUAAGUAAUCAUUUUGAGAUAGACGAAGAUGUUAUGCAGUUGUGGAUACUAAAGGAUAAAUAUUUAGUUGGGACGAGACCGGGCAUACUUCGGUAUAUAAUUCAAAUAUUUUCUCAGCCCAAGAAGUUAAUAAGGAACCAACUUUAAUUUAGAAAUGUACGUGAUGGAAAUGGGUCAGACUACCUGCCUUCGGAGCAAGUUAUUAAAGGUCGUCGAACUAAAAAGUGCAAGCUUAGCAGUAUGUGAAAGAGAUUAUAACAAUGGUAAGAGGCAAGAUGUAACUAUUCGACCAAGUCGAGAAAUAGAGACUAGAAAAUAAGUUAACGCGGGAAUAUAGUAGAUCGAUGUGUUAUGGAUUAAUCAGAUAGUUUUGUUGGGGAUUAUUCGAAAUCCUGUUCUACGGAAAUUGUCGCUAGUAUGAAGAAGAAGAGAAUGUAGUAAAGUGUUAAGGAGUUGUAUAUUUUCAGUCGAUGGAUCUGCUUGCACAUUUGUUUUGAAAUCCAAAAGAGUGACUAUAUUGACUGGACUGAAUUGUGGAAACCGAGGCUGUCCCAGAAUAGAACGUAAGUAUGAAUACAACUACGUACAAGAAUGGAUUAGAUGGAGUUAAGUCUCAAACCGUCAAGUUAUUAGUAUAUCUCCAAAGGAAAAUGCGAUAACUAGAAGUGACUCCUCGGUGAUAUAAGUUGGUGUUUCAAAGCAGCAUGUAGAAUGAAGUUAACCUCCUUGUUAUUAGCAUGUAAGUCGGAAGACUUAAUUCUUCUAGAACCAUAGGAGAAGUGAGUUUGGAUAAAUGGUAGUAAUCAGAUUGAAAAUAAGUAGCAUGUCAUAGAGUGAUUUUCGGCUUGAUGGUUGUGAAAUCAUAACAAAGUUAAGUUAAUCGUGGAAUUCUUCGGUAUAGUUGAACUAGUGUACUGGAUGAAGUAAGUUGAUAAAUCAAAGUUGCGCAGCGGAAAAUUAACUAAGAAUAAAGAACGGAUUACGUUGAAGGCUAGGACCGUGGUAUGAGGCAGUUAUGGAAUAUUAGUAUGUAGAGACGAACUGAGUAUAUGGCAAACUGUAAUGAGGAAUCUUAAGAGUCAAGCUAAGAAAUACUUUAAAUAAGAAUCCAGGGGUGACAGAAGUUGAAGCAGUCUAAGAGAAUGUGAUAAAAUAGUGACAGCGUGUCUUGCUGUAUUAAGUCUAAGGCAAUUGGAAUCACCGCUGGUAUGAUAACCCAAUUAAUCGGUUCAGUUACUUCAAGGGGUUAGCAGUAUCGGUUUAGUUAGAAGAGAGUUGUGUACGAGGCGACAAUUAUGAAGGUUGUAUCUGGAGGAUUUUACUUUCGACUCGAAGUGCCAUCCGAAAAUGUCAAGUAUAGUUGCAGGUAUAUGAGCAGGAAGAUAGCACUCGGAGCAGGAUCGAAGAUACCGAACACAUAUUAGUUAGAGAGUUUAAACUCAAUGUUACGAAGGUACAGAAAAGAACGUUAUCACAAAUUGGAAAUCAUAUGUGACCUAAGGUAUGGGACUGUGCAUAUUUAAGAUAUUAAUGCAAGACUAAGAAAGAUGGGAUAAUUUGUUUCAUAUUCCAGUAGCUAACACAGUGUUAUACAAAGACGAAGUAUGUUUUUUCCUUAAGAGAUAAGUUCUAGAAGUGAUUCAGGUGGGUAAUUAUACUUAUCCUAAUACGACUAGGGUGUAUCGUGAAUGACUAAAGAUAUGUCGUGUAUUAAGUCAUCAGUUUUACUACCUUCUGUAUUGGGUACUUGUUAGCAAGUUGUUUACCGGUGUUUUCGGAAAACUACGAGCUAGUUCUGAUUAUUACAAGCGAGACCGAACUAAAAAUCUCAGGAAAUGACGUGCAAAGGUUUUAAUCGAAGAUAGUUUGAAAAAAGGCCACGAGAUGCAGUCAGGUUACUUAGAGAGCAUGACGAGUUAGAUUGCAAGUAAAAGCAAGACAAAAUUAAAGGAAAGAGUAACAGUUUAAACGCAUAAAUUUAAAGGAAAUGUAAAAUGCAUUGCGACCCAUUUUGUAUAACUUGUUUCCCUAGACGCCGGUAGUUUGAGUGUUGUAGAAUUUCUAUAAAUGAUUUGCGACCCAUUUUUCGGCUUGUUUUAGUAGGAUAGUCCAAGAAUUAGCAUGACCCUUUAUAGGCCUCAUUCCUCCUGAUAUAACUCGUAGAAAAACUACUAAAAGUUUUGAAAGUUCCCUUGUUGGUUUCUAUGUUGCCCCAAUUACAGUUAUUGUUUCCUUUUAGUAUUUUUUGAAAUUUUGAGAAUUGGCCGGAUCAUGAGAUUUAUGUUCAGUUUUUCUUGUUUCUUUCUUUUAGUCAUUAAAAAAAACCUUUGUGGUAACUAGAAAAGGAAAUUAGCUAUUAAAUAUUUGGAUGGAUUAUAAAUUUAGUUAUUAUGAUUCAGAUAUGAGUUUAAGUUUUAUAUGUAAUAUUAUGGUGAUAGAAAGUUGGUUAGAUUUGAUAUGUGAUGUAAUAACUGUAGACAUAAGGGGGACAUAUAUUAUGUUGUUGAUUUGCGCAUAUAUUACAAUACGAACUUGGCUUUUACUCGAUUUCUAUUAAAAAAGAACAUAGUGUUUUACCUUUUAAGUCCGACGUAUCGUAUACCACUACUAGAAAAAGUAAAAUUAUGGAGGGAAAUUAGUGAUGGAAAAAAUAAAAUCUCUUACAAAUUUGUUGGUCACAAAAUUUAGUGACAGAAUUAGAGAGGGAUUUCAUGUUUUCCCUCACUAAAUUUCCAUCACUAAUUUUUGUUUUUUUAGUAAUGUACCUACGGUAGUUGUCGAUCUUCACAUAGCAGGAUUUGGUGAUUGUCGUACUAGAAAUGAUAACAACAACUAUACUUGCAUGAGUAGCUUCUCUUUAUAUAUAAAAGCAAGAUUAUUACAGUUGGUCAAUAUGACAAGAGAUAUAGUCCUCAUAAGGAUACGUAUUCGAAAGUAGAAGUAUUCAUUGUAUCUUUUCGUCUUUGAAGUCAUUUCUUUGAGAUGAAGAUCAUUGAGAGAACUGUUGGAUAUUUGUAUUGUCUGCAUUGUUGUUAAAACAAAUAUUCAUGUUUGUGUUGUAAGAUGUAAUGUUUCAACAUGGUUCAGGCAUCUCCGUAAGAUGUUGGAUACGAUGUUCCAACAUCCUGGCAAGAUUCAGUGUGCCUUGUUUCAUGUCUGUUUAUGCGCAUGCGUUAUAUUAUUUAAGGAAACCAUAUUUCCUUAUCUUGCUGACCAAGCUACGCGCAUAUCUGUACAUAAUCAAUUGUACUUUUAUUCCCAAAGGAGCAAUUAUAUUUUAGGGAAAAUUUGGAUGUGAUUGGAAGUUCUGAAAGAUGUUCCUAUUUCUUAGGACUUUCCUUAUUUGUUACUGAUUCGUGUUUUGCAGAUUAGCUGGACGAUCUACUUUGUUAUGAAGCCCAAACAGGUUAAAUGGCCCAUGUUGCUUCAGUAUAAAAGAAAUACUUCAAGACCUAAUUGAGAAUUCAAGAUGUCAUUCUAAAAAGUCUAGCUUUAGGGUUUUGAGUCGUAUGUGUGUCUACUCUUGUAUCAUGUUGAUGUAAGUUUAGUACUAUUUAUUAUUGUGAGCCUUUCUUGUAUUGUUUGUGAUACAUGCUAAGGAUUGUGUAUUGAGUUGUAAAUCUUGUGUGCUACACCAAAGCUUAUAAGCAAGGUUGUAGCUGUUUGUUUGAAGGUAACUUCACUGUUUGUUUAUGUUUUAGUUUGAUAAUCAUAGGUGCUGUGACUAUAGGAAAGUGAGAUGGGAUCUCAAAUUUAGGAGUUCCUAAGUUGAAGUCUAGA